GACGAACGCUGGCGGCGUGCUUAACACAUGCAAGUCGAACGGAAAGGCCCUGCUUUUGUGGGGUGCUCGAGUGGCGAACGGGUGAGUAACACGUGAGUAACCUGCCCUUGACUUUGUGAUAACUUCAGGAAACUGGGGCUAAUACCGGAUAGGAGCUCCUGCUGCAUGGUGGGGGUUGGAAAGUUUCGGCGGUUGGGGAUGGACUCGCGGCUUAUCAGCUUGUUGGUGGGGUAGUGGCUUACCAAGGCUUUGACGGGUAGCCGGCCUGAGAGGGUGAACGGCCACAUUGGGACUGAGAUACGGCCCAGUAUCCUACGGGAGGCAGCAGUGGGGAAUCUUGCACAAUGGGCGGAAGCCUGAUGCAGCAACGCCGCGUGCGGGAUGCCGGCCUUCGGGUUAUAAACCGCUUUCGCCUGUGACGAAGCGUGAGUGACGGUAAUGGGUAAAGAAGCACCGGCUAACUACGUG
This 468-nucleotide ribosomal RNA is filed under the name uncultured bacterium. RNAcentral's name for it is "partial 16S ribosomal RNA". It matches the Rfam family "Bacterial small subunit ribosomal RNA", at positions 28 to 507 of the family's 1533-position model. The record is from RNAcentral.